AAAAAAAAAAGGCAAAACCUUAAACAAAAAUAUAAAGAUCUGAAAUGUCCGCAGACUGGCGUGGGCACUGAGGAUGGAGAGAGCGUCCACAGCAGCAUCCUGGAGAUGGUAUGGUGCGCUAUGGAUGAGGCAAUAGGGAGCAGACCAUCCAUCACUCCACCUGUCCUUGUUGCCUCAUCUGGUCAAGAUGUUGCUUUGGCCUCUUCUUCCUCGUUAAGCCCAGCCCCAGCAAGAAAAAUAACAAGAAAAAUUGAGGAUUUGAUGAAAGAGAUUGUGGAGAGGGAAGCAGCUGAGAGGGAGGAAAGAAGAUGGAGAGAAAUGGAGGAGAAAGAAGACCGUCGAGAACGAGAAAGACAGAAAGAGGAGAGACGAGAAAGAGAAUCUAGAGAGAGAGAAGACCGAUGUCGCCAGGAAACGUGCGAGAAAGAGGAAAGGAGAGACAGGGAGGCAAAGGAAAGGGAGGAAAGAUUUCUUCGCCUCCUUGAAAUUCUUUUAAAAAAAAUAAGACCAAUAAAUUAUGUAACAAAUG
This is a long non-coding RNA of Carassius gibelio (silver crucian carp), 529 nucleotides long. RefSeq lists it as uncharacterized. The transcript is spliced from 2 exons. The record is from RefSeq and is a predicted model, not a curated record. NCBI's taxonomy places the organism in Eukaryota, Metazoa, Chordata, Actinopteri, Cypriniformes, Cyprinidae.